UCCUACGGGACGCAGCAGUGGGGGAUAUUGCACAAUGGGGGGAACCCUGAUGCAGCGACGCCGCGUGGGUGAAGAAGCGCCUCGGCGCGUAAAGCCCUGUCAGCAGGGAAGAAAAUGACGGUACCUGAAGAAGAAGCCCCGGCUAACUGCGUGCCAGCAGCCGCGGUAAUACGUAGGGGGCAAGCGUUAUCCGGAUUUACUGGGUGUAAAGGGAGCGUAGGCGGUUUAGCAAGUCAGAAGUGAAAGCCCGGGGCUCAACUCCGGGACUGCUUUUGAAACUGUUUCCCUUGAGUGUCGGAGAGGUA
This 305-nucleotide ribosomal RNA is filed under the name uncultured bacterium. RNAcentral's name for it is "bacterial SSU rRNA". It matches the Rfam family "Bacterial small subunit ribosomal RNA", at positions 337 to 659 of the family's 1533-position model. The record is from RNAcentral.